This 419-nucleotide ribosomal RNA is filed under the name uncultured bacterium. RNAcentral describes it as "bacterial LSU rRNA". It matches the Rfam family "Bacterial large subunit ribosomal RNA", at positions 770 to 1181 of the family's 2925-position model. The record is from RNAcentral.
GGGGCCGAACCCACGCCUGUUGAAAAAGUCGGGGAUGAGCUGUGGCUAGGGGGUGAAAAGGCCCAAAUCAAACUCGGAAAUGCUGGUUCUCCGCGAAAUCUAUUGAGGUAGAUCGUCAGGUAUUACCCUCGGGGGUAGAGCACUGGAUGGGCUAGGGGGACCCAAAGUCUUACCAAACCUAACCAAACUCCGAAUACCGAGGAGUAGAGCCUGGCAGACAGUCCCCGGGUGCUAAGGUCCGGGGUCGAGAGGGAAACAACCCAGACCACCAGCUAAGGUCCCCAAAUCGUGGCUAAGUGGGAAAGGAUGUGGGAAGGCCAAAACAACCAGGAGGUUGGCUUAGAAGCAGCCAUCCUUUAAGAAAGCGUAAUAGCUCACUGGUCUAGACAAGCCGUCCUGCGCCGAAAAUGUACCGGGGC